UGGUGGGUGUCCGGCUAACUCCGGAGGUGGUGGGUGUCUGACUAACUCCGGAGGUGGUGGGUGUCUGACUAACUCCGGAGGUGGUGGGUGCCUGACUAACUCCGGAGGUGGUGGGUGCCUGGCUAACUCCGGAGGUGGUGGGUGUCUGGCUAACUCCGGAGGUGGUGGGUGUCCGGCUAACUCCGGAGGUGGUGGGUGUCUGACUAACUCCGGAGGUGGUGGGUGUCCGGCUAACUCCGGAGGUGGUGGGUGUCUGACUAACUCCGGAGGUGGUGGGUGCCUGACUAACUCCGGAGGUGGUGGGUGCCUG
Molecule: long non-coding RNA, 310 nt
Organism: Salvelinus fontinalis (brook trout)
Lineage: Eukaryota; Metazoa; Chordata; Actinopteri; Salmoniformes; Salmonidae
Exons: 5
Source: RefSeq, a predicted model, not a curated record